ACGAACGCUGGCGGCAUGCCUAACACAUGCAAGUCGAACGCGACCUUCGGGUCUAGUGGCGCACGGGUGCGUAACGCGUGGGAAUCUGCCCUUGGGUUCGGAAUAACAGUUGGAAACGACUGCUAAUACCGGAUGAUGACGUAAGUCCAAAGAUUUAUCGCCCAGGGAUGAGCCCGCGUAGGAUUAGCUAGUUGGUGGGGUAAAGGCCUACCAAGGCGACGAUCCUUAGCUGGUCUGAGAGGAUGAUCAGCCACACUGGGACUGAGACACGGCCCAGACUCCUACGGGAGGCAGCAGUGGGGAAUAUUGGACAAUGGGCGAAAGCCUGAUCCAGCAAUGCCGCGUGAGUGAUGAAGGCCUUAGGGUUGUAAAGCUCUUUUACCCGGGAUGAUAAUGACAGUACCGGGAGAAUAAGCCCCGGCUAACUCCGU
RNAcentral lists this ribosomal RNA (431 nucleotides) under uncultured bacterium. RNAcentral describes it as "partial 16S ribosomal RNA". It matches the Rfam family "Bacterial small subunit ribosomal RNA", at positions 29 to 506 of the family's 1533-position model. The record is from RNAcentral.